RNAcentral lists this ribosomal RNA (606 nucleotides) under Nakazawaea holstii. RNAcentral describes it as "LSU rRNA". It matches the Rfam family "Eukaryotic large subunit ribosomal RNA", at positions 33 to 655 of the family's 3401-position model. The record is from RNAcentral. Lineage: Eukaryota; Fungi; Ascomycota; Pichiomycetes; Alaninales; Pachysolenaceae.
AUUAAGCAUAUCAAUAAGCGGAGGAAAAGAAACCAACAGGGAUUACCUUAGUAACGGCGAGUGAAGCGGUAAAAGCUCAAAUUUGAAAUCUAGCACUUUCAGUGUUCGAGUUGUAAUUUGAAGAAGGUAUCUUUGGAGUUGGCCCCCGUCUAUGUUCCUUGGAACAGGACGUCACAGAGGGUGAGAAUCCCGUGCGAUGGGGAGACCAAUUCUAUGUAAAGUUCCUUCGAAGAGUCGAGUUGUUUGGGAAUGCAGCUCUAAGUGGGUGGUAAAUUCCAUCUAAAGCUAAAUAUUGGCGAGAGACCGAUAGCGAACAAGUACAGUGAUGGAAAGAUGAAAAGAACUUUGAAAAGAGAGUGAAAAAGUACGUGAAAUUGUUGAAAGGGAAGGGCUUUUGAUCAGACUUGGUGUUUAGUACUCUCUACUCCUUGUGGGUGGGGCUCUUGCUUUAUACUGGGCCAGCAUCGGUUUGGAUGGCAGGAUAAUAGCAUUGGAAUGUGGCUUCAUUCGUGAAGUGUUAUAGCCUUUGUUGAUACUGCCUAUCUAGACCGAGGACUGCGUCUUUUGACUAGGAUGCUGGCGUAAUGAUUAAAAGCCGCCCGUCUG